This 2516-nucleotide long non-coding RNA is filed under the name Sarcophilus harrisii (Tasmanian devil). RNAcentral describes it as "lncRNA (ENSSHAG00000032106.1)". Lineage: Eukaryota; Metazoa; Chordata; Mammalia; Dasyuromorphia; Dasyuridae. The record is from RNAcentral.
GCAACAGCAAGCGCGGACGGCGCAGGGCGGCGGAGCGAGAGGCGGACGCGGCCAUUCACCUCCGCGGCCCGCUCCUACUGCGCAGCCCCGGGGCCCGCCCAUCGCUACGUCUCCGGUUCGGGGGCGGGUCUUCUCGAAACAGCCAAUCCGAACCCUGGAAACGUCAUCUUACGGGGCCUGGGGGAGGGACUUCGUCUUUUUACAACUUUCGGACUCGACGCCAGAAGUGGAGCUCUUCAAGCGGGGCGGGGUAAAGGGGCGGGUCUCCGCGCUCGAACGGAACUCGAGAGCUCGGGGCUGGCCGUUCAGAGACCAGGCUUCCUGAGGAGCCGGCCUUUGCACUCCCAAGGCCGAAGAGCGUGCCGGGCGGGGCUCCGCCUCCCAGAAAACAUCGAGUCCUACGUCCGGAGCUCUGCUGUCCGAAAAACAGCGAGCCGAGGGGGCGGCAGCGCGCCAGCCAAACGGCACCGAGUUCAGGGAUCGCGGCUCCUGCUUGCGGCCGAUCCCGCAUCCCGCACCCGGCGGCACUCCUCCCUCUAACCAAUACGGAGCCCAGAGGUCCGCGUCCAGGGGACGGGGCUCAGUCCGCCAACCAUCUCCGAGGGGAGGGUCCGCGGCUCCACCCUCCAACCAAUAGGAAGGGUCAGUGCCCGCACUUUGUUUACCAAACAACCCAAAGUCCGAGGGGCGCGGUUCCGCCUUCCAUCCACUCCGGAGCGGAGAAAAGGUAGCCCCGCCCUCCAACCAAUAAGGACCAGAAGGGACGGGGCUCCUCUUCCCGAGCAAAACAAAGUCUAGGGGGCGAGGCUGCGACCUCCAACUGUCGCCGAGCUGAGUGGUAGUGGCUCCGCCCUCCAGCCAAUAGGGAGCGGAGGGGGCGGAACCUCGAUUUCCAAACAGGGAAUCCAUGGGGCGAUCCGAGAACUUCCAGGGAUCUCCAAGUUCGUGGCCCGUGGCUCCGCCCUCUCCCCAAUAUGGAGGAGAAGGAGCGAAACCUCGCUUUCCAAACAAAAGGUCUGGGGAGCGGGGCUUGGCUCUGUAACCGUCCCCCCUGUAAGAGAAUGUAACUCUGUCGUCCUGCCAAUAAGGGGGAAAGGAGGCGAGGUUGGCCGGGAGAAGUUGCCUUCAGAGAGAGGCCACGAAGGAUUGGACUUGGGUCGCCCGAACCAGGAGAAAUGCGGAGAGGGAGGCCGGACCUUCCGGCUUAGGGGCGGGCCUUCGUCCUUCCACCAAUGGGGAGCCGCCGGGCCGGGACUGGAGCGGCCGGGGAAGGACUGGGAGGACACAGGCCCCGCCCAGCGGGAAUGAACCGCGGGAGUGUGACUGCUGCGGCCGAACGGGGAGGAGCUGAGCAAGGAAGGCUCGGCUCCUCGCAUCCGGCCAGGUCCGGGGGACUGGACCCUGACCCCCCGCGGACAAGAAGGGCGGUCCAAGGGGACGGUGCUGGGACUUCCAGCCAAUAAAGAGCUGAAGGAGGCAGGUCCCGCCUUGCGUCCGGCGCCGUUACGAAGGGACGAUGUUGCUCCCUCAGACCAUUGGCGAGUUGAGGGGGCGGUGCUUGGUCUCCCACCCAAUAACGAGCUGAUGCGGGGAGCCUCCGCCCUUCGGCCUUCCCCCAGCCGAAGGGAGGUGGCUCCGCCCUCACGCCGGUGACGGACGGUAGAAGUUCCCCUCGGAACGAGGAACGGGCUAGUGGGACGUUCCCCUGGUUCCCAGCAAUCGCCUUGCUGAGGGGGCGGGGCUCGGCUCUCCCGCCGAUGGCGGUCCCCCGGGGCGGGGCUGCGUCUUCCCUUCACGCCGGCACCUCUGGUGAGCUGGGCCGCCCCCCAGCCUUCCCCUCGCGGGCCGGGGGUGCUACCCGACACGUGCCUCCAGGGUUGAGGCACGGGCUGGGGAGCGGGCCUGGUACCCAGGCGCGGGCUGACUGGGUGCGCCGCUGUCUUCCGAGGCCUGUGGUCCGAAACGUUCCGCAGAGCAGGCCGGGGCGCUGCUCCUCCGAAACUGCCGAGCGCCGCGGGGUCUGGGGGCGGAGCUCGGCAUUCCCGUCUCCGCGGAGGCGGAGAGACCCCGGCGCUCCGGCCCACCACGAAUACGGAGCCCAGGGGCCGCGGCUCGGCUUUCCAGCCCUCCCACGGCUGCCCCGUCGAAGAGCCCCUGCUUCGGCUCACUACCACUACCGAGCCCAGGGGCCGGGACUCGGCAGUGCCCCGGCCUCGAGCCCGGGAGUCCACCACUCCCCACCCCGCGGAUGGGCUCCGCCCCCCGGCCCAGGAGCCGGCCAAUCGGCCCCGUGUGCCGCCCGCGGGGCCCCGCCCCUCUACCAAUAGAGGGCCCCGCGGCGGAGGCUCCGCCUUCCCGCCGUCACCGCUCAAAUCCACAGCGGCCCGGGUGGCGGGCCUCCGCAUCGGAUCAACCACGGCGGGGAGGGGGCGGGCCUUGGCGUUUUCCCGCCCCCACGCCCGGCCGGGCCGGCUCUCAGCUCUGGGCAGAGCGCCCCGCCGCCUCGGCCUCGCUCC